RNAcentral lists this ribosomal RNA (497 nucleotides) under uncultured bacterium. RNAcentral's name for it is "partial 16S ribosomal RNA". It matches the Rfam family "Bacterial small subunit ribosomal RNA", at positions 28 to 507 of the family's 1533-position model. The record is from RNAcentral.
GAUGAACGCUGGCGGCGUGCCUAAUACAUGCAAGUCGAGCGAACGGACGAGAAGCUUGCUUCUCUGAUGUUAGCGGCGGACGGGUGAGUAACACGUGGAUAACCUACCUAUAAGACUGGGAUAACUUCGGGAAACCGUAGCUAAUACCGGAUAAUAUUUUGAACCGCAUGGUUCAAAAGUGAAAGACGGUCUUGCUGUCACUUAUAGAUGGAUCCGCGCUGCAUUAGCUAGUUGGUAAGGUAACGGCUUACCAAGGCAACGAUGCAUAGCCGACCUGAGAGGGUGAUCGGCCACACUGGAACUGAGACACGGUCCAGACUCCUACGGGAGGCAGCAGUAGGGAAUCUUCCGCAAAGGGCGAAAGCCUGACGGAGCAACGUCGCGUGAGUGAUGAAGGUCUUCGGAUCGUAAAACUCUGUUAUUAGGGAAGAACAUAUGUGUAAGUAACUGUGCACAUCUUGACGGUACCUAAUCAGAAAGCCACGGCUAACUACGUG